UACGGAGGGUGCAAGCGUUGUCCGGAAUCACUGGGCGUAAAGGGCGCGUAGGCGGCUCAUGAAGGCUGUGGUGAAAGUCCGGGGCUCAACCUCGGAUCGGCCGUGGCGACUCGUGGGCUGGAGCACUGUAGAGGCGGGUGGAAUUCCGGGUGUAGCGGUGGAAUGCGCAGAUAUCAGGAGGAACACCGGUGGCGAAGGCGGGUCUCUGGGCAGUAACUGACGCUGAGGAGCGAAAGCGUGGGGAGCGAACAGG
This 253-nucleotide ribosomal RNA is filed under the name uncultured bacterium. Its description in RNAcentral is "partial 16S ribosomal RNA". It matches the Rfam family "Bacterial small subunit ribosomal RNA", at positions 524 to 776 of the family's 1533-position model. The record is from RNAcentral.